CUUUUUCUAUGGCUUGGUUAUGUCACACAGAUCAUAGGCUGGAGGGAAGAUUUUCCCAUUUUCUUUCCCCUACCACUUUUUACACUGGCAACAUGGGUCAAUAUUGCUUUUCUUUGUAAGCCAAUUUACACUUUGAAAUGAAGUGAGCAUUCAGUAGGAAAAGAAGGUGAAAGUAUUCUGCUUUGUAGCAUCUGCCAGGACUAAUUUUUAAAUUUAUUUUGGCUGCUAUAACAAAGCUAUAGACUGGGUGGCUUAUAAACAACAUAAUUUUAUUUCUCACAGUUCUGGAGGCUUGGAAGUCCAAGAUCAAGAGGUGAACAGAUUUGGUGUCUGGUGGGGGCCUGCUUCCUGAUUCAUAGAUGGCACCAUCCAGCUGUGCCCUCACAUGGUGGAAGGAAUGAGGCUGCUCUCUGGAAUCUCUUUUAUAAGGCUCAUAAGUGAAAGGGACUAGCCUUGUUUCAGAUGAGACAUUGCACUUGGACUCUUGAGUUAAUGCUGAAAUGAAUUGAGACUUUGGGAGACUGUUGGGAAGGCAAGAUUGUGUUUUGAAAUGUGAGGA
This 559-nucleotide long non-coding RNA is filed under the name Homo sapiens (human). Its description in RNAcentral is "HSALNT0166170". The record is from RNAcentral. Lineage: Eukaryota; Metazoa; Chordata; Mammalia; Primates; Hominidae.